RNAcentral lists this ribosomal RNA (253 nucleotides) under uncultured bacterium. RNAcentral's name for it is "partial 16S ribosomal RNA". It matches the Rfam family "Bacterial small subunit ribosomal RNA", at positions 524 to 776 of the family's 1533-position model. The record is from RNAcentral.
UACGUAGGUGGCGAGCGUUGUCCGGAUUUACUGGGCGUAAAGAGCGCGCAGGCGGCUGGUCAAGUCCGAUGUGAAAUCUCCCGGCUCAACUGGGAAACUGCAUCGGAAACUGAUCGGCUUGAAGAUGGGAGAGGGUAGUGGAAUUCCCGGUGUAGUGGUGAAAUGCGUAGAUAUCGGGAGGAACACCAGUGGCGAAGGCGACUACCUGGCCCAUUCUUGACGCUGAGGCGCGAAAGCUAGGGGAGCGAACGGG